UAAACGCUAGGUUUUUCAGCUUUCAGGAACCCCUUCCCUUGAUGGCGUUGCAUCGGAAAACAUCAGUGACUUCCCCGCGCAGUCCAUUGUGUAUGUACUACUCGGAUAACCAUAGUAAUUCUAGAGCUAAUACGUGCAAGAAAUCCCGACCUCUGGAAGGAAUGCAUUUAUUAGAUAAAAGGCCAGUGCGGGCUUUGCCCGAUGCUUUGGUAAAUCAUGAUAACUCGACGGAUCGCAUGGCCAUUGUGGUGGCGACGCAUCAUUCAAAUUUCUGCCCAAUCAACUUUCGAUGGUAGGAUAGAGGCCUACCAUGGUGGUGACGGGUGACGGAUGACGGAGAAUUAGGGUUCGAUUCCGGAGAGGGAGCCUGAGAAAUGACUACCACAUCCAAGGAAGGCAGCAGGUGCGCAAAUUACCCAAUUCUGACACAGGGAGGUAGUGACA
This 444-nucleotide ribosomal RNA is filed under the name Amborella trichopoda. Its description in RNAcentral is "rRNA SSU_rRNA_eukarya". It matches the Rfam family "Eukaryotic small subunit ribosomal RNA", at positions 83 to 472 of the family's 1831-position model. The record is from RNAcentral. Lineage: Eukaryota; Viridiplantae; Streptophyta; Magnoliopsida; Amborellales; Amborellaceae.